UUGCCUUAAACUAAUGAGUAAGGAAAACAAAGCGAGCGGUGAGAGCCGUUCGCCGCGCAAAGCACUUUAGUGCGCAAGAAUUUAUGGAGGGGUUAUAGGCUGGCCGAGUGUUGACGCUGUUACUUUGCAGAACUCACUCGUGCGGGCCUCCCUA
This is a small nuclear RNA of Malus domestica (apple), 154 nucleotides long. RefSeq annotates it as U12 minor spliceosomal RNA. The record is from RefSeq and is a predicted model, not a curated record. NCBI's taxonomy places the organism in Eukaryota, Viridiplantae, Streptophyta, Magnoliopsida, Rosales, Rosaceae.